UAUUUGUUCUUUAACAAUGUGGUAAAAAGUAUAAGUAAAGAUUCCUUGAUUAAUUUAGGGUUAUUUUUAUUUUCGAUUGAGAUGUAUUUUUAUGUUUUGAUUGAUAAAUGGGAAUAAUUUUUAGUUUAUUUAAUUAACGAGUCUUGGUAAUUUUUGAAAACCGGUGUUGAGAUAUAGUUUUGAUUGGUUUUAGUUAAUAGAUUUUAGAUUUAUUGAUAUAAGACUUUUUGGGGUUA
RNAcentral lists this unclassified non-coding RNA (236 nucleotides) under Piscirickettsia salmonis. Its description in RNAcentral is "partial 16S/23S ribosomal RNA intergenic spacer". The record is from RNAcentral. Lineage: Bacteria; Pseudomonadati; Pseudomonadota; Gammaproteobacteria; Thiotrichales; Piscirickettsiaceae.